RNAcentral lists this ribosomal RNA (427 nucleotides) under uncultured bacterium. Its description in RNAcentral is "bacterial SSU rRNA". It matches the Rfam family "Bacterial small subunit ribosomal RNA", at positions 355 to 796 of the family's 1533-position model. The record is from RNAcentral.
UCAAGAACAUUCCACAAUGGGCGAAAGCCUGAUGGAGCGACGCCGCGUGCAGGAAGACGGCCUUCGGGUUGUAAACUGCGGUAGCUAGGGAGGAACGCAAGUGACUGUACCUAGCGGAAAGUGGUGGGUAACUACGUGCCAGCACCAGCGGUAAUACGUAGACCACAAGCGUUAUCCGGAUUUAUUGGGCGUAAAGCGUGUGUAGGGGGUUCGGUGCGUCUGUGGUUAAAGCCCACCGCCUAACGGUGGAAGUGCCACGGAUACGAUCGAACUGGAGGGCGUUAGAGGUGCACGGAACAUAUGGUGUAGGGGUGAAAUCCGUUGAUAUCAUAUGGAACACCGAAGGCGAAGGCAGUGCACUGGGACGUUCCUGACCCUGAGACACGAAAGCGUGGGGAGCAAAAAGGAUUAGAUACCCCGGUAGUCC